ACGCUCACUUCAGCAGCAUACAUACUAAAAUUGGAAUCAUACAGUGAAGAUCAACAUAACCCCUGCACAAAGAUGACACACAAAUUUGUGAAAAAUUCAGUUUUUUU
RNAcentral lists this small nuclear RNA (107 nucleotides) under Phascolarctos cinereus (koala). Lineage: Eukaryota; Metazoa; Chordata; Mammalia; Diprotodontia; Phascolarctidae. The record is from RNAcentral.